AAUAUUGCGCAAUGGGGGAAACCCUGACGCAGCAACGCCGCGUGAAGGAUGAAGGUUUUCGGAUUGUAAACUUCUUUGAUGAGGGACGAACAAAAUGACGGUACCUCAAAAACAAGCCACGGCUAACUACGUGCCAGCAGCCGCGGUAAUACGUAGGUGGCGAGCGUUGUCCGGAAUUACUGGGUGUAAAGGGCGUGUAGGCGGGAAGACAAGUCAGAUGUGAAAUACCGAGGCUUAACCUCGGGGCUGCAUCUGAAACUGUUUUUCUUGAGUGUCGGAGAGGAAAGUGGAAUUCCCAGUGUAGCGGUGAAAUGCGUAGAUAUUGGGAGGAACACCAGUGGCGAAGGCGACUUUCUGGACGAUAACUGACGCUGAGGCGCGAAAGCGUGGGGAGCAAACAGG
Molecule: ribosomal RNA, 402 nt
Filed under: uncultured bacterium
Lineage: Bacteria
Description: partial 16S ribosomal RNA
Rfam family: Bacterial small subunit ribosomal RNA
Source: RNAcentral